RNAcentral lists this long non-coding RNA (216 nucleotides) under Lathyrus oleraceus (garden pea). Its description in RNAcentral is "Pisum sativum (pea) long non-coding RNA (PSAT_LNC036772)". The record is from RNAcentral. Lineage: Eukaryota; Viridiplantae; Streptophyta; Magnoliopsida; Fabales; Fabaceae.
UUGACUCGGCGAUGCGGUAUGUGAGUUAGCUCGGGUCCAAGGGCCGUUUUGGAACUGUUUUGAAGUUUUGGUGCUCAUGUUCUGGACCUUCAAUUGGAAUGCCAAUGAAAAUGCUUUGGAGUUUGAAUUCAAAGUGAUUGGUUCGUGGCAUUGGACUGAUGUAGGAUUAGAUUAUGAGUUUAGAAUGACGAUUGUAAUCUUUUUAGUUUUGCAUUU